Molecule: small nuclear RNA, 104 nt
Organism: Pipistrellus kuhlii (Kuhl's pipistrelle)
Lineage: Eukaryota; Metazoa; Chordata; Mammalia; Chiroptera; Vespertilionidae
Source: RefSeq, a predicted model, not a curated record
GUGCUCGCUUCGGCAGCACACAUACUAAAAAUUGAAAUGAUAGAAGAUUAGCAUGGUCCCUGUGCAAGGAUGACGCACAAAUGCAUGAAGCAUUAUUAAAAAGA